Molecule: long non-coding RNA, 1190 nt
Filed under: Homo sapiens (human)
Lineage: Eukaryota; Metazoa; Chordata; Mammalia; Primates; Hominidae
Description: HSALNT0160460
Source: RNAcentral
GAAGUUUGAUUGAUAGCCUUAGACGGUCAGCUAGCACUCUCUUCCACAACCUACUUAUUAGUUCAGCAAAAUUAUGGUUAUUCUUUCAAGCCCAGCUUACAUGUCACUCCUAGGAUUAUAAAUUCGAAUGUCCCCAUGAUAUACUAUUUUACGUUCUUUGCUUUUUCUAGUGCAUAUUACGGUAUGAUUAGUUAUGGCAUAAAAAUCAUUUUUUCCUCAUCAAUUUCUGGGACAGUUCCUGGUGGAAAAAGGGAAAUAAUCAGCACAUCUGCAUGUGUGCCCAUCUCAGAGACACAAACUGUGAAUAACAACUCACUUGGCUUCAUAACCAAGACCUACUCUGAGGAAUUGCAUCUCUUCCUUGGAGACCUUGAUUGGCCUGCUAGGUUAAAGGCAUUUCACUAAAUUCUUGGAGGAGUCUGAGAGAACUUGGGGGUGCUUGAGGAACCCAAAGGUGUGAAGUAAAAGCUGGAAACCAAGAUUGCUGGGAAAGUUCAGAGAAAGUAGAGAUUACUUCGUUUGUUGGAGAUCACAUGCAAGGGAGUCUACUCCGAGAUCAAAGGCAACCUAUAGCAAUUUAUGAGAAAUGAAGGAAGUGGGAGAGAUGCUAAGUUACUUUAAGGGAUGUUCUGAAAUCAUGAAUCUAGCUGGAAUAGCUGGUGUUGGCUGUGUCCAGAAGAGCUGGGACAAGGAUAGACAGGAUUUCCACAUGUCGCCCAGGCUGAUCUCAGACUCCUGACCUGGAUCUUCCCACCUCAGCCACUGAACGUGCUGGGAUUACAGGGAAACUCCUAUUGUGAUCUUAAGGGCUGUAACCCAGAGAAUCUGGUUCUUCCUGGAGUAUUUCAGCAGGGAUCAGGUUAAAUAGGUCUACUUGAAGUUCACAACUGCCAAAACCGCGUGUUCAGACUGAAAGGCUGGGAGCAUUUCAGACGCAUUUAUGAACUUCCACCAAGAUGAUCCGGCAGGCUGAAAUCGCAGGGAGAGCGUCUGUUCAACAAACCCUUUCUUCUUGAUUGAAUUAGUGUUACCCACUAACAGGAUGAGGAAUUCCCACUCCACAAGCUGACUUUUUUUCCUCUUUCCACCUCCCGCCUCCCUCCAUUAAAAUGUAAACUUGAUUCCUGUGUCCUUUGCCGGAGCCUGGCUUCCCUGUAAGCCCAUCAUAAACAUCUUGGUAGAAAUGCAAC